Molecule: small nuclear RNA, 83 nt
Filed under: Marmota marmota marmota (Alpine marmot)
Lineage: Eukaryota; Metazoa; Chordata; Mammalia; Rodentia; Sciuridae
Description: U4 spliceosomal RNA (ENSMMMG00000008943.1)
Rfam family: U4 spliceosomal RNA
About the family: U4 small nuclear RNA (U4 snRNA) is a component of the major U2-dependent spliceosome.
Source: RNAcentral
AGCUUUGCGCAGUGGCAGUAUCGUAGCCAAUGAGGUUUAUCCGAGGCGCGAUUAUUGCUAAUUGAAAACUAUUACAACAGAUU